GAUUCCAUGGUCUAGUGGUUAUGACUCCUGUCUUACACACAGGCGAUCGCCGGUUCGAUCCCGGCUGGAAUCA
This is a non-coding RNA of Peniophora sp. CONT, 73 nucleotides long. The record is from Rfam. Lineage: Eukaryota; Fungi; Basidiomycota; Agaricomycetes; Russulales; Peniophoraceae.